RNAcentral lists this long non-coding RNA (819 nucleotides) under Homo sapiens (human). Its description in RNAcentral is "HSALNT0252611". Lineage: Eukaryota; Metazoa; Chordata; Mammalia; Primates; Hominidae. The record is from RNAcentral.
GCUGAAUCAUGGGGGCAGUUUCCCCCGUACUGUCCUCGUGAUAGCGAAUAAGUCUCAGGAGAUCUGAUGGUUUUAUAAACGAGAGUUCCCCUGCAGAAGCUCUCUGGUCUGCCACAUGUAAGACAUGACUUUGUUCUUCCUUCAUCUUCCACCAUGAUCGUGAGGCCUCUCCAGCCAUGUGGAACUGUGAGUCUGUUAAACCUCCUUUUCUUUAUAAAUUACCCAGUCUCAGGUAAGUCUUUAUUAGCAGUGUGAGAACAGACUAAUACAAUAUUCAUCCUAUUGUUUCUUUUUCUCUGGAGAACCCUAUUACACCAGAUUUUUGUUUGUUGUUGUUGUUAGAAGUUAGGAAUACAGCAAUGGACAAGAUGGCCAAGUCCCAAGCACUGCCGGAGUAAUCAUUUGCUUUGAGGAAAUCCAGCUGGCCACAUGGUGAGGCUUGGAGGCCACUGGCCAACAGCCACUUAGCGAUCUUGGAAUCAGAUGCUCCAGCCCAGUCAACCCUUCAGAUGGCUGCAGCCCUGACCGAUGUAUGAACUACAACCUUGUGGGAGACCGAGAACCAGAACUAAGAUGUUCCUGGAGGCCUGACCCUCAAAAAAUUUUGUGAGAUAAUAACUAUUUGUUACUUUUAGUGUCUAAGCUUUUGUUAUAGAGCAAUAGAUAACCAGUACAGCCAGUAAUUAAAUAUGGGUCCUUUGGCAAAUAAAUGAACCUCCGAAGACCUCCAUUCUUUCAUUUACUAUGUGAGAGCCUUGGUUUUGUUCAGGUAUGGGACACUUAGCAUUGAAUUUUUUAAUUUGUGUGGGUACACAGUAG